RNAcentral lists this long non-coding RNA (1203 nucleotides) under Heterocephalus glaber (naked mole-rat). Its description in RNAcentral is "lncRNA (ENSHGLG00100033426.1)". The record is from RNAcentral. Lineage: Eukaryota; Metazoa; Chordata; Mammalia; Rodentia; Bathyergidae.
CUAACAGGAGCGGAGUGGGAGAGACACCCAUACCGAGUCUAUGACUGCAGCUUUGUGCUAAUGAUAGACGUGUAAAAAUUCUUGGCAAUGAAAAAUCAGCUUGUGUGUAGAAGAACAGGAAUUUUAGUCCAAGGACUGAGCCCACAGGUACCCAGAGGCCCUUGAGGCACACGAGAGUAGGCGAAGAAAGAGCUCACUGGCCUUGUGCUGGGAGACGGACCUGCGCCAACCAGGAGGGAGGAGACAACAAAUACAUUUCCCUCGGCCCAGGAAACCUCUUUGGUGCUUGGGAUACCAAGAAACCAAGAAAUUCUCUAAUCAAAGCAUUUUAAUGGACUGCUUAUUAAAGUGCAUACAAACUCAGCAGUCCCAAUGUGGACCAGAAGCUGCAAUACACAAUGUUGAAAAAUAAAGUGAAAAGAAUGUCCACCCAUCAAACUCUGAGAUGCAGGAGUCGUAAGAGAAAGGAUUUCUGCGGGACUCAAAGAUGACUCUGGAUUUGGAUUACUCUCCAGUCCAUCCAAAAGAGCAAAGACAAUACAAGCAAAUCAACAUAGUCGCUGUAGGCAGAGCCCAGACUAGCCUUGCUGGCUGAUGGGGAAACACAGUCGCGAUAGAGCCAUUCAGAGAGCAGUAGGCUGUGUAGUCCACACGGUGGUAGAACAUUUCUCUGAGCCAGCUUCCCAUUCCUGGCUCAUGACAUCAGGUGUCAGGUUGACUACAUUUUUUUCCAGCAGCCAUAAAAUCAGUGGUGUUUCUCUCCAUAGUUGUCCAAAAGAGAAAGCUGUGAUUUGGUUUCUCUUACACUUAUUUUUAAUUGGGAACAAUCAAUGAUUGCAAUACACAAAACCCAUAUUUUUAAGACAAUAUUUCUUCACAUUGCAGAUGCAAUCUGUUCUGCACUAGGAGGUUGAGAAAGAUGGGGAAAGAAAGCCAAACCAAAUGAAUUAUAUUAGCUUUAGGAUCUUGUCUGCUUAUACUAUUGACUGAUCUGCAGUUUAGGAGACCACAUUUUCACAAUUACGUUUCUUCAUAUGAAAACUAUAUUUAGUGGGCAACAACUAUUUUUAUGAUGGGAUAGGAGUACAUAAACAUGAAUAAAAUCUGUAGACAUUGAACAACUUUGUUCAAGAUGGUAGGGGUAUUUUUAGAGUGGCAAUAAUUGAAAAAAGGUCACGGGCUGGGGAUUUAGCUCAGUGGUUU